AAUGAACGUUGGCGGCGUGGAUUAGGCAUGCGAGUCGUGCGAGAACCGUAGCAAUACGGGGACAGCGGCGAAAGGGAGAGGAACACGUGGGUACCUACCCUCGGAUUCAGGAUAGCCAUGGGAAACUAUGGGUAAUACUGAAUAACGUCUCCGGACCAAAGGUGUGAUUCCGUCCGGGGAGGGGCCCGCGUCCUAUUAGCUAGUUGGCGAGGUAACGGCUCACCAAGGCGAAGAUGGGUACGAGAUGUGAGAGCAUAAUCUCGCUCAUUGGGACUGAGACACUGCCCAGACACCUACGGGUGGCAG
Molecule: ribosomal RNA, 306 nt
Filed under: uncultured Planctomycetota bacterium
Lineage: Bacteria; Pseudomonadati; Planctomycetota
Description: bacterial SSU rRNA
Rfam family: Bacterial small subunit ribosomal RNA
Source: RNAcentral